This 3590-nucleotide ribosomal RNA is filed under the name Triticum aestivum (bread wheat). Its description in RNAcentral is "partial small subunit ribosomal RNA". Lineage: Eukaryota; Viridiplantae; Streptophyta; Magnoliopsida; Poales; Poaceae. The record is from RNAcentral.
CCUUUUCCUUUCUUUCUUUCUUUUUUUAAGUUUUUUCUCUCUCAUUUCGAGAGGUAAGCAAGCGACAAACGUGUACAACAUCAGAACACUGAAAUACUUUCCACAAACACGACAACAAAAUACAAGAAAGUCAUUUUCCAAUCUUUAUUAACACAUCCACACAAAGGGACUAUCAACACAAUGUAUAAACCUUUAGUUGUACCGUCUGCAUAGAGGGUCGUUUUCUUAUAUCCUUUUGUUUUUUAUUUAUUCCCUUUCUUAUAUUUAGGUAAUACACUCAAAACACACUGUAGAAAUACUUUCCACCAACAUACUAAGAAAAAAAUCCUGUUCUCUCUUUAUAAUUGACUGAUCCUAAUCAAAGGACUAUCAACACAGUGAUUAAAUCUCUCCCUCCUCAUGUCCCCGUCCAGACUUCCAUAUGGAGGGGGAACACGACCUAAUUUUUAAAUCUGAUCCUCUUUAUGUCCUCGUGCAGACUUCCAUAUCGAGACGAAACACUACCUAAUAACUUCACACUUGGGACGUGGGACGUGACACCAUAUCACCCCAAUUAUGUCCAUACACGUCAAUGUUAAAAGUUUCGAGGUCAUUCUACGUACUUACUUUUUAUAUACUUUAUUAACUUUGAUGGAAUAAAACAUCUAGUAAGAGGAUCCUUCUCUUCACAACCGGGUUCGAAACAAACCAAGUUCGUCUGAAAACGGUGACGUUGUCGGUGUGCUUUUACAUGAUGCACCUACGUCCCAGUAACAAGGUUCGUGAAGACAAGACUACGGUCUUAAUAAGAACUAGAGACGUCACUUGGUUUGAGAAGAAGUGGCAUCUCAUCAACUGAGUAGUUACUCCUUGACAACGCUACUUAUAGGUUAAUCCGGUUAGGGUAAGUGAAAGUGUGCCAUACAACACACAACAUCAGACCAUUAUAAAACAAGUGAAGUUAUAGUCCGACGUUACAUAGAUGGAUCGGUUUACCACACCUUAUGAAUUUAAAAUGAACCAUAUAAACAGUCGUCUACAUUGUACCUUCCAUGACCGUUUCACCGUUAUACUAACCACAAAAGAAGUGUUUCCUUUUACUACAGGUAGACCGAAGUUACAGUGUCAAUGAGACCUUCAGAUUAAGAAGACACAAGAACGUCGUGUGUGUUUUUCCUUUUUUCUUUUUCUUUUUCCUUUUUUAUUUUUUCCUUCUUUUCCUUUUUCUUUUUCUUUUUCCUUCAUUCCUUCUUUUAAUAUCUUCUUUUGAGAGGUAGCUGGGUGUCAAACGUGUGACCCGUCUCUUUACGUCUUCAACUUCGCCUAACCGUUGACGGGGGAGGGAUGAGGUGGCUGGGGUCUACCUUAGUGGUACGGUACCACCUCACUCCAGCCCUCCGCUAUCACUACUCGUUACACUGCUGCCUCCCGUACACUGUUUAUCGCUACUACGACCGAUGAAGAGUACCUCCUGUGUGUCCCCGAAACCUCCUCGUAUUACCGUCGGGAUCAAACUAACCCCGUAUAAGAGAGAAAAACCUAUACGGUACGAACUUCUUCAACGACGGUAGCGUUGAACAUAGAGGAUAGGAAAUGAUCUGACCGGAGAGGGUUGAACAUUUGAGAAGUUAUGAACUUCUUGAGAGUCGUAAGUGGGUGACGCGCCCGCGGUACCGGAACCACCAUAGAGGAGGAACAUGUAUUUAUGUCAUACAUAUACCUAGACCUCAACAUGUGAUAGUAUCGGACCCUCUUGAGAGAGGUAAGAAGAGUGUCUUUUUUCCUUUUUUACACUUUUCUUCCUUUCUUUCUUUUUCCCUUUUUUCUUGUUUUUUACACCCCUUUUUCUUUCUUUCUCUUUCCCUUUUACACUUUUUUUCUUUCUUUCUUUUCUUUUUUUUACACUUUUUUCUUGUUUUCUACACUCUUUUUUUCUUUCUUUUCCCUCCCUUACACUUCAUUUUUUCUUCUCCUUUUGGAAGUAAGUAAGUGGUAAGCUUGUACACCACAUAGUUUCCACCAACACGUCAACAAAAUCCAAUAAAGUCUUUUUUCAUCUUUAUAAUUAUCGCAUCCUAACAAGAGGGUCAUCCACACUAUGUUUAAACCUUUAGUUCUACCGUGAUCAUCGAGGGUAGUUUUAUUUCCUCCGUUUUUCUUUUUUACUAAUUCCUUUUUAGAAGCAGGUAAUACACCCAAAACACACCAUAGAUAUGUUUUCCACCAACGUAUUAAAAACAUACAAGAAAGUUCUUUUAGAUCUCUCAUAACUACUUGAUCCUAACCAACGUACUCUAUCAGCACAGUGUUUAAAUCUGUCCCUCCCUUAUGUCCUCGUUCAGAGUUCCAGAUCGAGGGUAAACACAACCUAGUCACUUCACACGCGAAACGCCGUACAAUUUAACCUCAACCUCAAUUCUUUCUAGUUAGAGGAACCUAACAGACCACCUACCUCAAAGUAAAUAAGAUCCUAAUGAGAACUUGACGUUCACUCGUUUUGGAUAUAAGUCGAAUCUGAUCAAUUCAGUAACUGGUCCUUAACGACGCUACUUAUACGUUAGUCCGGUUAGGGAAAGUGUGAGUAUACUACAUUGUACCUUCCAUGUCCUUUACCACCCGUAAAAGAAACGUUUUCCUUUUACGACGAGUAGACCAAACGGACUGCAGAAGUCACAAGCGUCAAUGAGGCCUUUAGGAUAAUACGCCGUGAGAGCGUCGUCUGUAUUUCUGCCCCUGUUUUUUUCUAUUUUCCUUUGUUUUUCCUUGUUUUCAAUAUAAACUUUAUGAGAAGUAGACCAGUGUAAAUAAAUUCACCCUCCUCACGCCCUGCUUCUCCUAUCAGUGACAGGAGGGAGGUGGUUUAGGGGUUCUCCAAGUAGUACAGUAUCGCCGUAUAACCCUCCAGCCCUCCACCGUCACCACACGCUAUACCCACCGCCGCUUCACGUACCCUCCCCAUCGCUGCUACGACCGGCGAGACCACCUCCUGACCUGUCCCCACCAUCACUUUCUCGUAUUACUGUAGGGCUAUCCUAGUUUCAGGAUAACAUAAGUGACACACUAGAGAGUAGGAAAACUUCUUGGACGUAGGUCACUGUACCCGAAAGUCUAUGGGAAGGAGCUCGGUGACGACCUAGUUUACCCGAAACCAGUCAAGUAGGCCCACCACCGUUAAGCACUACGAAAACCAAGAGUUUACCUACCACCACAAUGCGGACGUUCGAAGAACACCAAAGUUCAACUUGGACCGGUGGUUCGGGAGGGUUGGGAAGUAUUUGAGGUCCACGAGUCGAGCGUCAAAGAUCUAAAAAAAAAAUCUGAACAAAGCAACGUGUCACCUCUACUCGAUGCGUCUGCUCGACACUUUCGCGACUAACGAAUACCAGUCCACGAUAUAUACGAAAGAAAGGAAAGUUCUACAUGAGUUGUACUAACAUUGAACUAACUACUACUACUUAUUAUUUCAUUCGUAGGAGAGUUUUCUUACUUUUGGGCCAACCGUGACCAUUGAGAAGUUCGUGAACGAGUUUCAGACAAAAACAGUGACCAAAUACAACUGUCAAAGAAGUGACUUCAACACUUUAGCUAGCGAGAGAAAAAGAAUUUUUUUU